This 253-nucleotide ribosomal RNA is filed under the name uncultured bacterium. RNAcentral describes it as "partial 16S ribosomal RNA". It matches the Rfam family "Bacterial small subunit ribosomal RNA", at positions 524 to 776 of the family's 1533-position model. The record is from RNAcentral.
UACGUAGGGUGCGAGCGUUACUCGGAAUUACUGGGCGUAAAGCGCGUGUAGGUGGCUUGUUAAGUCCGAUGUGAAAUCCCUGAACUCAAUUCAGGAACUGCAUUGGAUACUGGCAGGCUUGAGUAUAGGAGAGGUAAGCGGAAUUCCAGGUGUAGAGGUGAAAUUCGUAGAUAUCUGGAGGAACAACAGAGGCGAAAGCGGCUUACUGGACUAUUACUGACACUGAGAUGCGAAAGCGUGGGGAGCAAACAGG